RNAcentral lists this ribosomal RNA (447 nucleotides) under uncultured bacterium. RNAcentral describes it as "bacterial SSU rRNA". It matches the Rfam family "Bacterial small subunit ribosomal RNA", at positions 355 to 825 of the family's 1533-position model. The record is from RNAcentral.
UCGGGAAUUUUGGGCAAUGGGCGAAAGCCUGACCCAGCAACGCCGCGUGAAGGAUGAAGUAUUUCGGUAUGUAAACUUCGAAAGAAUAGGAAGAAUAAAUGACGGUACUAUUUAUAAGGUCCGGCUAACUACGUGCCAGCAGCCGCGGUAAUACGUAGGGACCAAGCGUUGUUCGGAUUUGCUGGGCGUAAAGGGCGCGUAGGCGGUGUGUCAAGUCAGUUGUGAAAUCUCCGAGCUUAACUCGGAACGGUCAACUGAUACUGUCACACUAGAGUACAGAAGGGGCAAUCGGAAUUCUUGGUGUAGCGGUGAAAUGCGUAGAUAUCAAGAGGAACACCUGAGGCGAAGGCGGGUUGCUGGGCUGAUACUGACGCUGAGGCGCGAAAGCUAGGGUAGCAAACGGGAUUAGAUACCCAAGUAGUCCCUGAGCGGGCUGGCAAGGCGCAU